AGAGAAGAUGGGGCUAUGAACUAUACUUCUAACUUGGGCAUCUGAAGUAUAGGGAGCGAGUGAUGCAACCGACCAACACUUGU
RNAcentral lists this non-coding RNA (83 nucleotides) under Bacillus sp. (in: firmicutes). Its description in RNAcentral is "Bacillus sp. c-di-GMP-II sequence". It matches the Rfam family "Cyclic di-GMP-II riboswitch aptamer". Lineage: Bacteria; Bacillati; Bacillota; Bacilli; Caryophanales; Bacillaceae. The record is from RNAcentral. RNAcentral also lists the same sequence under 1 other name.